Molecule: ribosomal RNA, 538 nt
Filed under: Vibrio campbellii
Lineage: Bacteria; Pseudomonadati; Pseudomonadota; Gammaproteobacteria; Vibrionales; Vibrionaceae
Description: bacterial SSU rRNA
Rfam family: Bacterial small subunit ribosomal RNA
Source: RNAcentral
UGGAGAGUUUGAUCCUGGCUCAGAUUGAACGCUGGCGGCAGGCCUAACACAUGCAAGUCGAGCGGAAACGACACUAACAAUCCUUCGGGUGCGUUAAUGGGCGUCGAGCGGCGGACGGGUGAGUAAUGCCUAGGAAAUUGCCUUGAUGUGGGGGAUAACCAUUGGAAACGAUGGCUAAUACCGCAUGAUGCCUACGGGCCAAAGAGGGGGACCUUCGGGCCUCUCGCGUCAAGAUAUGCCUAGGUGGGAUUAGCUAGUUGGUGAGGUAAUGGCUCACCAAGGCGACGAUCCCUAGCUGGUCUGAGAGGAUGAUCAGCCACACUGGAACUGAGACACGGUCCAGACUCCUACGGGAGGCAGCAGUGGGGAAUAUUGCACAAUGGGCGAAAGCCUGAUGCAGCCAUGCCGCGUGUAUGAAGAAGGCCUUCGGGUUGUAAAGUACUUUCAGUUGUGAGGAAGGGUGUGUAGUUAAUAGCUGCGCAUCUUGACGUUAGCAACAGAAGAAGCACCGGCUAACUCCGUGCCAGCAGCCGCGGUA